AGAGUUUGAUCCUGGCUCAGGAUAAACGCUGGCGGCGUGCCUAACACAUGCAAGUCGAACGCUCUCUCGGCAACGAGAGGGAGUGGCGGACGGGUGAGCAACACGUGGGUGGACCUACCCGCAAGUGAGGGAUACCGGCGAGAAAUCGCCGACAAUACCGCAUAGGCUCGGGGGACCGAGCAAAGCUGGGGAACUGGCGC
RNAcentral lists this ribosomal RNA (200 nucleotides) under uncultured bacterium. Its description in RNAcentral is "partial 16S ribosomal RNA". It matches the Rfam family "Bacterial small subunit ribosomal RNA", at positions 8 to 218 of the family's 1533-position model. The record is from RNAcentral.